This 120-nucleotide ribosomal RNA is filed under the name Thermochaetoides thermophila DSM 1495. The record is from RNAcentral. Lineage: Eukaryota; Fungi; Ascomycota; Sordariomycetes; Sordariales; Chaetomiaceae.
ACGUACGACCAUACCCAGUGGAAAGCACGGCAUCCCGUCCGCUCUGCCCUUGUUAAGCCACUGAGGGCCCGGUCAGUAGUUGGGUCGGUGACGACCAGCGAAUCCCAGGUGUUGUACGUC